UAAAAAUCUGCAUUACAGCCCAGAACAUGGCUUGUCUUUCACAUCACUGUCACCACUGUUGAAACGCACCACCCACCACCUCACUGUGUUCACAUCCACUGUUUGUUCUUCAUGAACACUGAGCAAACUUUGAUGAAUGUCAAUGGGUACAAUAUUUUCUGCAUGGAGGAAUUCAGUUACUCACCUUUGCUUUAUAAGCACUUCCAUGUCAGACACCAUUCUGUCAGCCUGCUCCUCUGCUGCCAUCUGUGACACGGCAACAACAUGUAACAGAAUACUGGCAGGAAGGUUCCACCUCUACUGCCGUACCACCACCAUCUGCCUCUGGCAUCAUGGGCCAAUGUAAUAUAAAUAGGAGGCAUUACUUUUGUAGCAGACUUCACAAAUGAUUGCAUUUCAGUGCUUGAAAAUGCUGGACAGAAACAAACCUGAAGCCUAGCUCUGAACUAUAGAGAGAAAUUCUGACCAUUUCAAGACUAUCUUUUCUCUGAAUUUAUGUCACUGUUCUGCUUGUUCUCCUGACGUCAACCAGGGAAGAAUUAGGGAAGAUAUGGACAUCAUGAACUAGUUGCUAAACCAUCCAUAAAUGACUGAAGCAAAUACUGGCAAUGAUUUGCAGCUCCUGGAACAACUGAAUAACAUUGUUGAUAAAUUAUGGAACCUGACAAGAAAACAGAGGGAAAGAGGAAGCCAAAAAUCUUCUGAAUAUGAGGAAGUCUGUGACAGAGCUCUGAGCACUGGAGCUACAGCAAAAAGGAAAUUGUCUUACUAUGCUGAAUAUGUGUUCAGAGAGUACUCAGAAGUUGAUGUUUGCUGUGAGGACAUCUUCCUUAAGAAAAUAAUGAGUUACAACUUGCGAAAAUCAAAACAAGAGAAAAGGAACCAUGUUUCCAGUUUGAGCAUUUCAGUUCGUGUUUCUGUGUCCUGCUGAUAACUCUCUGCUUCUUUCCCAUGCUACCGAGUGACCACAUCUUCAGGGUCACGUGUAGAUGGUUUUGCAGGAGGAUUUGUACUGGCUAAAGAAUUUAGCCUAAAGCUAAAUUCUACUAAUGCUGUCCAAGAAACAGUACAUUCAUAUGAAUAGCAUUUGUGAUAGUGAAUACUCAGCAGUGGAUCUGUUACCAUUUAAUAGGGAUUGUAUCUUGUUUUAGAGAAAAAUAUUUGGAGUCUUACUGAAAAAAUUCUUGUUUCUGUUACAUAAUCAUCCUAAAACUCAGUUCUUAAAGGAUGUUUGUUGUUUUUCCUUUGCAAAGAUCAAGUCAAUAAUUUUUAACUCCUUCAGGUGAGCUCUUGCUUGAUUUGCGAUGUAUGUGUCACAUUUCAGUAAUGUCAACCUGAACUUUUCACUCAAAUUAGGAUAGUAUAAUAUAUUUUUAUUAUUAUGUGCCUUAUUUUUCUUGCAACGAAGCACAUUUGACACUGAGCAUAACAACAUGAAAGAAACUGGUAUUAAAUUACAAAAAAAUAAAAUAUAGUAAGACAAGUUCA
This 1488-nucleotide long non-coding RNA is filed under the name Numida meleagris (helmeted guineafowl). RNAcentral describes it as "lncRNA (ENSNMEG00000004034.1)". Lineage: Eukaryota; Metazoa; Chordata; Aves; Galliformes; Numididae. The record is from RNAcentral.